AUGCGUCUGGAUGUGAAUGGCACUUGCAGUAUGCGGCUGCUCCUUGGUUGUCCAUUUGUAUGCGUCCAUAGUCUGAAGCAGAACCUCCAUCUUCUAUCUCAACGUCGGCAGCCCGACGGCGCCGACUCCUUAUCGACGCCCGUCGGCGGCCCGGUGAUGCGACCAGAUCACUGCAAAUUGCUCCAUUCAUGUCAGCAGCCUGAUCAGGUGGAGGUGGUCGUGCUGGCGCCACUGUUUUGCUUCAUGCUGAUGCGGUAUAAAAGUGCCUCCUCGGCAGAUGAGGACCUGAGCGUGGCCAUGCUAAUGAGGAUGCAGGAUCCACCGCCACCGGCCAGUCCGAGUGAUUGCAGAGAACUUGGCAGGCAGAUCAAUUACGAGGAGGUCAAGGCUGAGCUAGAAUGGGGUGGGCGCCAACAUGAAGGAGCUGGAGAUAUCUCUAUUUUUCAAAAUGACCUGCUUGGACCGAACGAGGACAGGUGUGUGGUGGUGGACAUAAGAUGCACGGCGAACAUUGAGCUACAGAAGAACAUUAUGAAAGAGGUUGGAGAGGCUGGAGGAGACCAUAUACCAACACAAAGCGCAUCUUGA
Molecule: ribosomal RNA, 588 nt
Filed under: Triticum aestivum (bread wheat)
Lineage: Eukaryota; Viridiplantae; Streptophyta; Magnoliopsida; Poales; Poaceae
Description: partial small subunit ribosomal RNA
Source: RNAcentral